RNAcentral lists this ribosomal RNA (508 nucleotides) under uncultured bacterium. RNAcentral describes it as "partial 16S ribosomal RNA". It matches the Rfam family "Bacterial small subunit ribosomal RNA", at positions 30 to 523 of the family's 1533-position model. The record is from RNAcentral.
AUUGAACGCUGGCGGCAUGCCUUACACAUGCAAGUCGAACGGCAGCGGGGGAGAAGCUUGCUUUUCCUGCCGGCGAGUGGCGAACGGGUGAGUAAUACAUCGGAACGUGCCCAGUAGUGGGGGAUAACUAGUCGAAAGAUUAGCUAAUACCGCAUACGACCUGAGGGUGAAAGUGGGGGACCGCAAGGCCUCAUGCUAUAGGAGCGGCCGAUGUCUGAUUAGCUAGUUGGUGGGGUAAAGGCCUACCAAGGCGACGAUCAGUAGCUGGUCUGAGAGGACGAUCAGCCACACUGGGACUGAGACACGGCCCAGACUCCUACGGGAGGCAGCAGUGGGGAAUUUUGGACAGUGGGCGAAAGCCUGAUCCAGCAAUGCCGCGUGUGUGAAGAAGGCCUUCGGGUUGUAAAGCACUUUUGUCCGGAAAGAAAUGGCUCUGGUUAAUACCUGGGGUCGAUGACGGUACCGGAAGAAUAAGCACCGGCUAACUCUGUGCCAGCCGCCGCCGUAA